This 253-nucleotide ribosomal RNA is filed under the name uncultured bacterium. RNAcentral describes it as "partial 16S ribosomal RNA". It matches the Rfam family "Bacterial small subunit ribosomal RNA", at positions 524 to 776 of the family's 1533-position model. The record is from RNAcentral.
UACGUAGGGUGCAAGCGUUAAUCGGAAUUACUGGGCGUAAAGCGUGCGCAGGCGGUUUUGUAAGUCUGUCGUGAAAGCCCCGGGCUCAACCUGGGAAUUGCGAUGGAGACUGCAAGGCUUGAAUCUGGCAGAGGGGGGUAGAAUUCCACGUGUAGCAGUGAAAUGCGUAGAGAUGUGGAGGAAUACCGAUGGCGAAGGCAGCCCCCUGGGAUAACACUGACGCUCAUGCACGAAAGCCAGGGGAGCAAACGGG